Molecule: unclassified non-coding RNA, 465 nt
Filed under: Ifloga molluginoides
Lineage: Eukaryota; Viridiplantae; Streptophyta; Magnoliopsida; Asterales; Asteraceae
Description: partial contains external transcribed spacer and 18S rRNA gene
Rfam family: Eukaryotic small subunit ribosomal RNA (bases 412-465)
Source: RNAcentral
CAUGAGUGGUGUUUGGUUUGUUACGGGUGGUUGGCUCUUUGCUUGCGCAACAACUUCCACCUUGCAUACCUCUUCAGUUUUGCAUUAAUGCUUGUAUUGCAUUGAAUGUAAGUUGGGUUUCAUGUGUUGCAUACCAAAUUGAUGGUAUCGUUUGAUGAAUUGAUGUUCCUUUUUCGUUUUGUGUCGCACAUGCGAUAUGAGAUGAACCUUGAAGCAGUUUUUGUGAUCCACUCUGUCGAUGCACAUACAUUGAUUUUGUGGCCCAUUAAAUAUUGCUCGGUCUCAUGGAUAUGGAACCUGGUGUAGGCAUUGGAUCUAGCGAUCCUUGUUUUGCCUUAUUUAAGCUUCUCUAAUACGAUGGACGAUCACGAGAGCUUGUCUCUGUGUGGUAGUCUAUUCGAAGAUGAAUGCUACCUGGUUGAUCCUGCCAGUAGUCAUAUGCUUGUCUCAAAGAUUAAGCCAUGA